Molecule: ribosomal RNA, 506 nt
Filed under: uncultured bacterium
Lineage: Bacteria
Description: partial 16S ribosomal RNA
Rfam family: Bacterial small subunit ribosomal RNA
Source: RNAcentral
GAUGAACGCUAGCUACAGGCUUAACACAUGCAAGUCGAGGGGUAACGAGAGGAAAGCUUGCUUUCCUUGUCGACGACCGGCGCACGGGUGAGUAACGCGUAUCCAACCUGCCCCCAACUAGGGAAUAACCUUGCGAAAGUAGGACUAAUACCCUAUAAUUUCCUCAGAUGUCAUCUGACGAGGAAUAAAGAUUUAUCGGUUGUGGAUGGGGAUGCGUCGGAUUAGCUUGUUGGCGGGGUAACGGCCCACCAAGGCAACGAUCAGUAGGGGUUCUGGGAUGAAGGGCCCCAACAUUGGAACUGAGACACGGUCCAAACUCCUACGGGAGGCAGCAGUGAGGAAUAUUGGUCAAUGGGCGGAAGCCUGAACCAGCCAAGUAGCGUGCAGGAUGACGGCCCUAUGGGUUGUAAACUGCUUUUAUACAGGAAUAAAGUUAGCCACGUGUGGUUAUUUGUAGGUACUGUAUGAAUAAGGACCGGCUAAUUCCGUGCCAGCCGCCGCGGUAA